GAGGCGGCCUGGCAGCGCGGAACGGAAGGACGCUAGGGGGCCUGCGUGUUUAUUGUUUCCACGGUCGCUUCCUGGAAAAGAUGAUGAGCAGUCCCGGGCCGCGGAGGGGCGCGGCGGGCGCGGUAAAGAAGUUUAGAGAUCUCCGAAGUCGCUAUCGACAGUGUUACUCUGAGGCGGAGGAGAAUUAAUCAGCGGUCUCAUCAAUGCUCCAGAAAUCAUGCUGGGUGAUAGAUAACUCCCAAAUCUGUAUUUCUGAGGACCGCAUCGCUUGUAAGGUCCUGAGUUCUGGUCCUGUGUCCAGGAAGAGUGAGGCACGCAAACAACUGGAGGGUGAGCAAGGUGGACAGGAGCUUCACUGAGGGACAGAACAGCUCUCCUGAGACCUGAAGUGGGUUGCUCCUUUCUGCAGGGGGGUUGUCCC
RNAcentral lists this long non-coding RNA (421 nucleotides) under Homo sapiens (human). Its description in RNAcentral is "non-protein coding lnc-KDM1B-1:1". The record is from RNAcentral. Lineage: Eukaryota; Metazoa; Chordata; Mammalia; Primates; Hominidae.